ACUUACGGCCAUACCAUCCUGAAUACGCCUGAUCUCGUCUGAUCUCGGAAGCUAAGCAGAGUCGGGCCUGGUUAGUACUUGGAUGGGAGACCGCCUGGGAAUACCAGGUGCUGUAAGUG
RNAcentral lists this ribosomal RNA (119 nucleotides) under Hucho hucho (huchen). The record is from RNAcentral. Lineage: Eukaryota; Metazoa; Chordata; Actinopteri; Salmoniformes; Salmonidae.